AGAAGUCCUCAAGUGCUUGAUUUCAUUCUUCCAGGAUGUUGUUUCUUAAGGUCAUGGUAAAGAAUGAGGCUCUAUCGACCUUAGACUAUCACUUAGAGGGUGCCAGUGUCCAUAAGAAGAACGUCCAUUAAGGACUUGACUGACGUGGUACUAAUCCAGAGAUGACCUUAAGGACUAUAAAGAAGGGACGUGAUCCGACUUGUUUUUGGAACUUAAUACUGAAGUACUUCUCUUUUCAGAUGGAUUGGCUUACCCUACUAGAAGAUUUCACCCUAAUUUGAUAAGGCAUAAGUCAUUCAAAACUCGUCAAUUUUGAUAGAUAUCUUUGUACCGAAGAAAAUGAUAAAUAAAGAAGAAAGAAGAAAGAAGAAAGAAGUAAGAAGAGAGAAGAAAGAGAGAGAAGAGAGAAGACAGAAGAGAGAAGAGAGAAGAAAGAAGAAAGAAGAAAGAAGAAAGAAGAGAGAAGAAUGUAAAAUGAAUUGUAAUAAAUGAAAUGUACAAAAUAUGAAUAAUGAAAAAAAUUUAAAACAAAAACCUUCCAAUUCCAAAACCAGAAACAAUUGACGUCACAAUCCUAUGGUAGUAGCCUAUGGUGGUAGAAACAAAAGAACCUUAUCUGGUUACGCAAUUAUUGAGAGGUUAUUUAAGUCCAUCCACCCAAUGUUGAACUACUCAACACACAAUACCAUGAUGAUCAUGAAGGUUCCAGGAAGGAAUACCAUUCAAGCAAACAACUGAAGGCUAAACAGGGUGUCUGGAUAAGAAGAACCGUCUGCAGGAGCUGCUAAGGUUGAUGGUAUUUGGCAGUAGACUCUUUCACACCCCCCUCCCUGUGGCACAGAUUGAAUCCAGCUUGAUUUCUAGAUUGAUCCGGAUGUGUACGUACCCUACAUGGACUAAAUUUUUUAUACAAACUAAAUGUUAGUCAUUUAAAAUGAGGAGGUAUUUAAGGUCACAUCUCAAAGGAGAAUUUGGAUGAUACAAACGAAACACCCAUCAGCUGAAAUUACGGAGAUUUAAGCUGGUUGACGUGGUACUAAUCCAGAGAUGACCAUGGACGUGGAUUACCACCCUCGAAUGGAGGUGGAUUACCUUCAGAUGGAUUACCCCCAGAUGGCCUCACUUUAUCAUGAUGGAUCACUUUAAGUUCAUACGAGUCACUUUGGACAAGUA
Anthonomus grandis grandis is the source of this 1173-nucleotide long non-coding RNA. RefSeq lists it as uncharacterized. The record is from RefSeq and is a predicted model, not a curated record. NCBI's taxonomy places the organism in Eukaryota, Metazoa, Arthropoda, Insecta, Coleoptera, Curculionidae. The transcript is spliced from 5 exons.